RNAcentral lists this ribosomal RNA (426 nucleotides) under Triticum aestivum (bread wheat). Its description in RNAcentral is "partial small subunit ribosomal RNA". The record is from RNAcentral. Lineage: Eukaryota; Viridiplantae; Streptophyta; Magnoliopsida; Poales; Poaceae.
AUGGAGCUGCUGGACCGGUUCAGGAUGACAAGGUUGCCGUCCCCGGAGAUCGUGAGCUCCAGCGAGGUGAUGUUCUUGAUUGGGUCGUCCCUGUUUGCGACCCACGCUGGAGUAAGCUUGGGGACUGUGUUGAACCAUAUGCCCAUGUACCAGUUGGACUCGCUGCCGGUCUCGAAGAAGCCAAGAGCGUACCUGCCAUUUUGGGAGACGAGCUUGUCGCAGCCGACGAGUGGUUGGGCGGAGGAGAUGGUGUCCGUCGUGGCAGAAUUUGCAGGGGCGGCGGCGUGUAAGGUGAAGACAGUGAACACAAAGAGGAGGAGAGGCAUGGUGAACCAAGGGAGAGGGGGAGGGGUGGCUUGCAGUUGCAGAGACCGCAACUGUAGUAGUAGGGUGGGUGCUCUGCUCGGCCGCCAUGGCAAGAAAUAA